AAGGGGAAUAUAAGGGAGUACAUCAUGGAGAUGUCUCACAUUGCUUCUAAACUUAAAGGGCUAAAACUUGAGCUGUCUGAUAACUUGCUCGUACAUUUGGUAUUGAUCUCACUUACUGCACAAUUCAGUCAAUUUAAGGUCAGUUAUAACUGCUAGAAAGAGAAAUGGUCUUUAAAUAAGACUGGACCUGUGUAGAAGGACUGUACCAAAUAUCAUGUUCGGCGUGCAAAGAAAGGUACAAUUCUUACUUUGAUAUGUUCUGAGGAUAAUUUAGCUUCAGUACUAAGAAACACUUGGUAGAUAGAUUCUGGUGCUACUACUCACAUAAGUUUUUCUAUGCAGAGCUACCUGAGCUAUCGAAAGUCAAAUGAUGGUGAAGUAUACAUCUAUGUGGGUGAUGGAAAAUAGGUGGAAGUUGAUGUAACUAGUCAUUAUUUGGAUUUGAAAGACACAUUUGAUGUACCAUCUUUUAGAUGGAAUUUGAGUUCUGUUUCUUCGUUGGACAAAUCUGGAUACUAUUUUUUAUUUGGAA
Molecule: long non-coding RNA, 532 nt
Filed under: Olea europaea subsp. europaea
Lineage: Eukaryota; Viridiplantae; Streptophyta; Magnoliopsida; Lamiales; Oleaceae
Source: RNAcentral